CAUCCUCCAAGGCUAAAUACUCCUGACUGACCGAUAGUGAACCAGUACCGUGAGGGAAAGGCGAAAAGAACCCCGGCGAGGGGAGUGAAAAAGAACCUGAAACCGUGUACGUACAAGCAGUGGGAGCCCCACCACUAAGCCAGUGGUGAACUCCACAUACGCAUCCUUUGCUGAGGAUACGGUUAACGGAGCGAAAGCGACGUUCAACCUCAAAAGAAGCAGAGGGGGCUUAGUGGUGGGGUGACUGCGUACCUUUUGUAUAAUGGGUCAGCGACUUAUAUUCUGUAGCAAGGUUAACCGUAUAGGGGAGCCGUAGGGAAACCGAGUCUUAACCGGGCGUUAAGUUGCAGGGUAUAGACCCGAAACCCGGUGAUCUAGCCAUGGGCAGGUUGAAGGUUGGGUAACACUAACUGGAGGACCGAACCGACUAAUGUUGAAAAAUUAGCGGAUGACCUGUGGCUGGGGGUGAAAGGCCAAUCAAACCGGGAGAUAGCUGGUUCUCCCCGAAAGCUAUUUAGGUAGCGCCUCGUGAAUUCAUCUCCGGGGGUAGAGCACUGUUUCGGCUAGGGGGCCAUCCCGGCUUACCAACCCGAUGCAAACUGCGAAUACCGGAGAAUGUUAUCACGGGAGACACACGGCGGGUGCUAACGUCCGUCGUGAAGAGGGAAACAACCCAGACCGCCAGCUAAGGUCCCAAAGUCAUGGUUAAGUGGGAAACGAUGUGGGAAGGCCCAGACAGCCAGGAUGUUGGCUUAGAAGCAGCCAUCAUUUAAAGAAAGCGUAAUAGCUCACUGGUCGAGUCGGCCUGCGCGGAAGAUGUAACGGGGCUAAACCAUGCACCGAAGCUGCGGCAGCGA
RNAcentral lists this ribosomal RNA (857 nucleotides) under Salmonella enterica subsp. enterica serovar Lubbock. Its description in RNAcentral is "partial 23S ribosomal RNA". It matches the Rfam family "Bacterial large subunit ribosomal RNA", at positions 454 to 1211 of the family's 2925-position model. Lineage: Bacteria; Pseudomonadati; Pseudomonadota; Gammaproteobacteria; Enterobacterales; Enterobacteriaceae. The record is from RNAcentral.